This 308-nucleotide ribosomal RNA is filed under the name uncultured bacterium. RNAcentral describes it as "partial 16S ribosomal RNA". It matches the Rfam family "Bacterial small subunit ribosomal RNA", at positions 505 to 807 of the family's 1533-position model. The record is from RNAcentral.
GAGACAGCAGCCGCCGCGGGAAAACGUAGGUGGCAAGCGUUGUCCGGAAUUAUUGGGCGUAAAGGGCUCGCAGGCGGUUUCUUAAGUCUGAUGUGAAAGCCCCCGGCCCAACCGGGGAGGGUCAUUGGAAACUGGGAAACUUGAGUGCAGAAGAGGAGAGUGGAAUUCCACGUGUAGCGGUGAAAUGCGUAGAGAUGUGGAGGAACACCAGUGGCGAAGGCGACUCUCUGGUCUGUAACUGACGCUGAGGAGCGAAAGCGUGGGGAGCGAACAGGAUUAGAUACCCCAGUAGUCCCUGUCUCUUAUAC